UACGGAGGGGGCUAGCGUUGUUCGGAAUUACUGGGCGUAAAGCGCACGUAGGCGGCUUUGUAAGUUAGAGGUGAAAGCCCGGGGCUCAACUCCGGAAUUGCCUUUAAGACUGCAUCGCUCGAAUUGUGGAGAGGUGAGUGGAAUUCCGAGUGUAGAGGUGAAAUUCGUAGAUAUUCGGAAGAACACCAGUGGCGAAGGCGACUCACUGACAUGUAUGACGCUGAGGUGCGAAAGCGUGGGAGCAACAGG
Molecule: ribosomal RNA, 249 nt
Filed under: uncultured bacterium
Lineage: Bacteria
Description: partial 16S ribosomal RNA
Rfam family: Bacterial small subunit ribosomal RNA
Source: RNAcentral